RNAcentral lists this ribosomal RNA (253 nucleotides) under uncultured bacterium. Its description in RNAcentral is "partial 16S ribosomal RNA". It matches the Rfam family "Bacterial small subunit ribosomal RNA", at positions 524 to 776 of the family's 1533-position model. The record is from RNAcentral.
UACAGAGGGUGCAAGCGUUGUCCGGAUUUAUUGGGUUUAAAGGGUGCGUAGGUGGUCUAUUAAGUCAGUGCUGAAAUAUCCCGGCUUAACCGGGAGGGUGGCAUUGAUACUGAUGGACUUGAGUAAAGUUGAGGUGGGCGGAAUUGACGGUGUAGCGGUGAAAUGCUUAGAUAUCGUCAAGAACACCUAUUGCGAAGGCAGCUCACUAAGCUUUAACUGACACUGAGGCACGAAAGUGUGGGGAUCAAACAGG